Molecule: long non-coding RNA, 714 nt
Organism: Magnolia sinica
Lineage: Eukaryota; Viridiplantae; Streptophyta; Magnoliopsida; Magnoliales; Magnoliaceae
Exons: 2
Source: RefSeq, a predicted model, not a curated record
UUAUUUUUUUUUUGCCAUAUCUUUAUGCCAUUAUCAAUGCCUAAAACAUUCUAACAUUGAGAUUCUGCGCUAAUGGAGGAUCCGGUAUAUGGAUGAACUCAAUCAGUGUAUCAUGCUGCUACACGCGGGUGAGGGAACUAUAUUUUAUUCAAAUUCUCUGGACUCUACAUGCCAGUGAGAGAGAGCUAUAUUUUAUUCAGAUUCUUCAACUCUAUUGUUUCAUUUUCUAGUACAAGGAUGCAUUGAUGAUAUCAAUUGUGAGGGUUGAAAGGUUUUGUAAGUUGAACAUCUAUGAGAGGUUUGAUCAAUACAAAAGCGUUUAUAACAGUUGUGAAUGAAAUUUGGUGAGGUUUGAUCAACACAGUAGCGUGUAUAACAUCAUCACAACAUUGCACGCUGGUGCAAGAUUUCAGCCAUUGAUCAGUUGAGCUCUCAGUCAUCAGUAUUAUCUGGUCCAAAAAUCAGUUUGGUUGGUAGGAUUUAUGAUUAUGGACUUACUAAAGUGGGGCUCGUGAUUCAACAUAAAACAUGUUACACCAAUUUUCAGCCAGAUGCGGGUUUUCUAUUAUAAUUUGGACUUAGAAACCGGACAAGAGAUGGAUUUUCUAUUAGUAUUUAGACCUUGAAACAGGACAGUGAAAACAUGAAAUAUGCACCAUCAAUAUAUGGUUGGAUACGUUAGAUAGAAAAGUAUAAAUUAUAUCAUCCUUCUUA